Non-coding RNA from Brassica napus (rape), 107 nucleotides. The record is from Rfam. NCBI's taxonomy places the organism in Eukaryota, Viridiplantae, Streptophyta, Magnoliopsida, Brassicales, Brassicaceae.
AAACCAUGGUGAAGGCAUUCUCUUCGGUAGUCAUUAUAACGAUCCCAUGCGUCGCAAAAAGGCUCAUCAGUGAGCUGUCUGAAAGAAGUGAUCUUGUUCCUCAAUGC